UACGGAGGGUGCGAGCGUUGUCCGGAAUCAUUGGGCGUAAAGGGCGCGUAGGUGGCGGGACAAGCGUGCGGUGAAAGCUCGGGGCUCAACCCCGAGUCGGCCGUGCGAACUGUCUUGCUUGAGCACUGCAGAGGCAGGCGGAAUUCCGGGUGUAGCGGUGGAAUGCGUAGAGAUCCGGAAGAACACCGGUGGCGAAGGCGGCCUGCUGGGCAGUUGCUGACACUGAUGCGCGACAGCGUGGGGAGCAAACAGG
Molecule: ribosomal RNA, 253 nt
Filed under: uncultured bacterium
Lineage: Bacteria
Description: partial 16S ribosomal RNA
Rfam family: Bacterial small subunit ribosomal RNA
Source: RNAcentral